UUUUAUAUAGUUUAAAAUAAAACAUCUCAUUUUCACUGAGAAAAUAAAUACUAUUUUAUAUACU
This 64-nucleotide transfer RNA is filed under the name Peploptera acromialis. RNAcentral's name for it is "tRNA-Glu". The record is from RNAcentral. Lineage: Eukaryota; Metazoa; Arthropoda; Insecta; Coleoptera; Chrysomelidae.